RNAcentral lists this ribosomal RNA (250 nucleotides) under uncultured bacterium. Its description in RNAcentral is "partial 16S ribosomal RNA". It matches the Rfam family "Bacterial small subunit ribosomal RNA", at positions 86 to 339 of the family's 1533-position model. The record is from RNAcentral.
CUAAAGUUAGUGGCGAACGGGUGAGUAAAGUAUCGGAACGUACCAUUCAGUGGGGGAUAACGCAGCGAAAGUUGCGCUAAUACCGCAUAUUCUGUGAGCAGGAAAGCAGGGGAUCGCAAGACCUUGCGCUGAUUGAGCGGCCGAUAUCAGAUUAGCUAGUUGGCGGGGUAAUAGCCCACCAAGGCAACGAUCUGUAGCGGGUCUGAGAGGAUGAUCCGCCACACUGGGACUGAGACACGGCCCAGACUCC